Molecule: ribosomal RNA, 60 nt
Filed under: Pyrgus cinarae
Lineage: Eukaryota; Metazoa; Arthropoda; Insecta; Lepidoptera; Hesperiidae
Description: partial 5.8S ribosomal RNA
Source: RNAcentral
UUUCGAACGCACAUUGCGGUCCGUGGAGAAACAUCCAGGACCACUCCUGUCUGAGGGCCG